UACCCUAACAACACACAACAUUCCAGGAAUGUACUACCAAAGUUCUAUCAAUAUUUGAAUGUCCUGGACAUUUAGGGAACAUUCGGUGAACAUCUGUUUAAAUUAUUCCUGGAAUGUUACCAUAAGACAUUCUGUGAACAUACUACCAAUGUUCCUAUAUUUUAAGUUGCGAAAUAAUACAUACGUGUAAGAGAUACAACAUUACUUAUAACAUACCAGACAAACUAAGUGACAUUUUAGGCCUACAGUGCAAUAAUAUGUCAAAUUUAAAGAGUUUCCCAAGAUUAUAAACAUACAAAUGUAAUAAAAAUUAUUGUUCGCGAAUAUUCAAUUUGGAAUGCGAUUUUGUUAAUAAAAAAAAUACUUAUAACUUAUGCAAAACCCAAGAGAGGCAUUUAUAUUUAUUUCUUUUGCGUUCAUUUUCAACUUCGCCGUGCAUAUAUUUUUGUGCAUGGCGCUUGAGAGGGCAUCACGUGACUAAAAACGACCAACCAACGACCUCGCUUCGGCCAUCUUGGCAUCUUCAUCUUGGCGACCUUGCCUUGCCGUGGAUUGUUUUUAGUUGUUUGUAUUAUUUGUGCUUUUUAAGAAUAUUUUUUUAAUUCGGAUACUUUUAUAAUAGCUUUAAUAGUAUUAUUAACAUAGUGCAUAAAAUGGUGUCCUGUUUUUAACGCAGUUGGAGUAGCAGAAACAAAUGUAGAUAAAAAAAUCUGCAGGAAUAACGUUUCAAUUAUGACAGAAGCUCAAAACAAAUGACUGUGAACGAAAAGCCCUAUUAAAAGCUUUCCAGAAGAUCCUGCGAAGAAGACAUGAAGUAUAGAUCAGAUUUGUUAAUAGAGGAGUAUGUUCAAAACACUUUUUAGAAAAAGAUAUUGACAGAACUUCACUUUCAUCUGUUCGUUUGAGAGACUGUGCUGUUCCAAUAGCUUAUGUCACACAGAAUCAGCUGAGAGAAGUGGUCUACAAAAAACCAGAAAGGAAACGGAAUAUGUGGCUACGAAAAGCAAAAGAAAGGUUUACAAAGCAAAUGUGACACAUUUUUUUAUAAUAUUUAGGAAUGUCAGCAAAU
This 1069-nucleotide long non-coding RNA is filed under the name Diabrotica virgifera virgifera (western corn rootworm). Its description in RNAcentral is "uncharacterized LOC126878755". Lineage: Eukaryota; Metazoa; Arthropoda; Insecta; Coleoptera; Chrysomelidae. The record is from RNAcentral.